RNAcentral lists this ribosomal RNA (253 nucleotides) under uncultured bacterium. RNAcentral's name for it is "partial 16S ribosomal RNA". It matches the Rfam family "Bacterial small subunit ribosomal RNA", at positions 524 to 776 of the family's 1533-position model. The record is from RNAcentral.
GACGUAGGGGUCCAGCGUUGUUCGGAAUUACUGGGUGUAAAGGGUUCGUAGGCGGUGCGGCAAGUUGGGAGUGAAAUCUCUGGGCUUAACCCAGAGGCUGCUUCCAAAACUGCUGUGCUUGAGUGUGGGAGAGGCGCGUGGAAUUGCAGGUGUAGCGGUGAAAUGCGUAGAUAUCUGCAGGAACACCCGUGGCGAAAGCGGCGCUCUGGACCACUACUGACGCUGAGGAACGAAAGCUAGGGGAGCAAACGGG